RNAcentral lists this ribosomal RNA (254 nucleotides) under uncultured bacterium. RNAcentral describes it as "partial 16S ribosomal RNA". It matches the Rfam family "Bacterial small subunit ribosomal RNA", at positions 524 to 776 of the family's 1533-position model. The record is from RNAcentral.
UACGGGGGGAGCAAGCGUUGUUCGGAUUUACUGGGCGUAAAGGGCGCGUAGGCGGCCUCUGCAAGUCAAUUGUGAAAUCUCCGGGCUUAACCCGGAAAGGUCAGAUGAUACUGCUUUGCUAGAGUGCGGAAGGGGCAAUCGGAAUUCUUGGUGUAGCGGUGAAAUGCGCAGAUAUCAGGAGGAACACCAGCGGCGAAGGCGGCGCUCUGGGCCGGUACUGACGCUGAGGAGCGAAAGCGUGGGGAGCGAACAGG